GACGUAGGGCGCGAGCGUUGUCCGGAUUUAUUGGGCGUAAAGAGCUCGUAGGCGGCUUGUCGCGUCGAAUGUGAAAACCCACGGCUCAACUGUGGGCUUGCAUUCGAUACGGGCAGGCUAGAGUUCGGUAGGGGGAGACUGGAAGUCCUGGUGUAGCGGUGAAAUGCGCAGAUAUCAGGAGGAACACCGGUGGCGAAGGCGGGUCUCUGGGGCCGAUAUUGACGCUGAGGAGCGAAAAGCGUGGGGGAGCGAACAGG
RNAcentral lists this ribosomal RNA (257 nucleotides) under uncultured bacterium. Its description in RNAcentral is "partial 16S ribosomal RNA". It matches the Rfam family "Bacterial small subunit ribosomal RNA", at positions 524 to 776 of the family's 1533-position model. The record is from RNAcentral.